GCUGGGCAUGGUGGUGCAUGCCUGUAAUUCUAACUACUUGGGAGGCUGAGAAAGGAGGAUUGCUUGAGCCCAAGAAUUCAAGGUUGCAGUGAGCUCUGAUUGCACCACUGCACUCCAGCCUGGGUGACAGAGCAAGACCCUGUCUCAA
Unclassified non-coding RNA from Pongo abelii (Sumatran orangutan), 148 nucleotides. It matches the Rfam family "Metazoan signal recognition particle RNA". Rfam says of the family: The signal recognition particle (SRP) is a universally conserved ribonucleoprotein. The record is from Ensembl. NCBI's taxonomy places the organism in Eukaryota, Metazoa, Chordata, Mammalia, Primates, Hominidae.